GACGAACGCUGGCGGCGUGCCUAAUACAUGCAAGUUGAGCGCUGAAGGUUGGUACUUGUACCAACUGGAUGAGCAGCGAACGGGUGAGUAACGCGUGGGGAAUCUGCCUUUGAGCGGGGGACAACAUUUGGAAACGAAUGCUAAUACCGCAUAAAAACUUUAAACACAAGUUUUAAGUUUGAAAGAUGCAAUUGCAUCACUCAAAGAUGAUCCCGCGUUGUAUUAGCUAGUUGGUGAGGUAAAGGCUCACCAAGGCGAUGAUACAUAGCCGACCUGAGAGGGGGAUCGGCCACAUUGGGACUGAGACACGGCCCAAACUCCUACGGGAGGCAGCAGUAGGGAAUCUUCGGCAAUGGACGAAAGUCUGACCGAGCAACGCCGCGUGAGUGAAGAAGGUUUUCGGAUCGUAAAACUCUGUUGGUAGAGAAGAACGUUGGUGAGAGUGGAAAGCUCAUCAAGUGGCGGUAACUACCCAGAAAGGGACGGCUAACUACGUG
This 497-nucleotide ribosomal RNA is filed under the name uncultured bacterium. RNAcentral's name for it is "partial 16S ribosomal RNA". It matches the Rfam family "Bacterial small subunit ribosomal RNA", at positions 28 to 507 of the family's 1533-position model. The record is from RNAcentral.